Molecule: small nucleolar RNA, 81 nt
Organism: Anser brachyrhynchus (Pink-footed goose)
Lineage: Eukaryota; Metazoa; Chordata; Aves; Anseriformes; Anatidae
Source: Ensembl
UCUGGCGAUGACGACACACUUGCCCUCACUGAGAACGUUGUUCAGUAAUGAGAGCCUCACCGAGUACUCGGCUGAGCCAGA